UACGUAGGGUGCAAGCGUUGUCCGGAAUUAUUGGGCGUAAAGAGCUCGUAGGCGGUCUGUCGCGUCUGGUGUGAAAAUCCAGGGCUUAACCCUGGACCUGCAUCGGGUACGGGCAGACUAGAGUGCGGUAGGGGAGAUCGGAAUUCCUGGUGUAGCGGUGAAAUGCGCAGAUAUCAGGAGGAACACCCGUGGCGAAAGCGGCUCUCUGGGACGGUACUGACGCUGAGACGCGAAAGCGUGGGGAGCAAACAGG
This 253-nucleotide ribosomal RNA is filed under the name uncultured bacterium. RNAcentral describes it as "partial 16S ribosomal RNA". It matches the Rfam family "Bacterial small subunit ribosomal RNA", at positions 524 to 776 of the family's 1533-position model. The record is from RNAcentral.